RNAcentral lists this ribosomal RNA (442 nucleotides) under uncultured bacterium. Its description in RNAcentral is "partial 16S ribosomal RNA". It matches the Rfam family "Bacterial small subunit ribosomal RNA", at positions 338 to 795 of the family's 1533-position model. The record is from RNAcentral.
CCUACGUGCGGCAGCAUUGGGGGAUAUUGGACAAUGGGGGAAACCCUGAUCCAGCGACGCCGCGUGAGUGAAGAAGUAUUUCGGUAUGUAAAGCUCUGUCAGCAGGGAAGAAAGAAAUGACGGUACCUGACCAAGAAGCCCCGGCUAACUACGUUCCAGCAGCCGCGGUAAUACGUAGGGGGCACGCGUUAUCCGGAAUUACUGGGUGUAAAGGGAGCGUAGACGGUGAUGCAAGUCUGGAGUGAAAGGCGGGGGCCCAACCCCCGGACUGCUCUGGAAACUGUGUAACUUGGGUGCAGGAGAGGUAAGCGGAAUUCCUAGUGUAGCGGUGAAAUGCGUAGAUAUUAGGAGGAACACCAGUGGCGAAGGCGGCUUACUGGACUGUAACUGACGUUGAGGCUCGAAAGCGUGGGGAGCAACAGGAUUAGAUACCCGAGUAGUC